RNAcentral lists this ribosomal RNA (531 nucleotides) under Saguinus leucopus (silvery-brown bare-face tamarin). Its description in RNAcentral is "partial large subunit ribosomal RNA". It matches the Rfam family "Bacterial large subunit ribosomal RNA", at positions 1850 to 2599 of the family's 2925-position model. The record is from RNAcentral. Lineage: Eukaryota; Metazoa; Chordata; Mammalia; Primates; Cebidae.
AGGCACUGCCUGCCCAGUGACACAUGUUCAACGGCCGCGGUAUCCUGACCGUGCAAAGGUAGCAUAAUCACUUGUUCCCUAAAUAGGGACUUGUAUGAACGGCCACACGAGGGUUUAACUGUCUCUUACUUUUAAUCAGUGAAAUUGACCUAUCCGUGAAGAGGCGGAUAUACUAAAAUAAGACGAGAAGACCCUGUGGAGCUUCAAUUUAAUAGUACAAACUAGUACCUCCAAAGCCUANCAGGCAGUAAACUACCGUCAAUGUACUAUGAAUUUUGGUUGGGGUGACCUCGGAGUACAACAUAACCUCCGAAAAACAUACACUAAGACCUAACUAGUCUAAGUAAAUAUAUACACUCAUUGACCCAAUANNNANCUUGAUCAACGGACUAAGUUACCCCAGGGAUAACAGCGCAAUCCUAUUUUAGAGUCCAUAUCGACAAUAGGGUUUACGACCUCGAUGUUGGAUCAAGACAUCCUAAUGGUGCAGAAGCUAUUAAGGGUUCGUUUGUUCAACGAUUAAAGUCUUAC